GGUGAAGCAGAUGUUGUGCUUGGUGGACUUAAAGGACUCCAGCCGCCGCUUCAUGUUCUGCUGGAAGACCUCCUUGUCCUGCCGCUCCUGCGCAUCCUCUGAGAUGAAGUGGCGACUGCAGCUGGCUUUGUACUGGCAAUGACAGCCCCGCCUGGCUAUGAGGAUGGAUGCCUUGGCCUCCCACAAGAACCCCAGGCCACAGCCCCAACAUAUUCACCACAGGACCUGCCAGCCCAGCUUUUCCAGAAUUAACAAUGGAUUGAAAAACAAAACAAAAAAUACAACAGGAACCCAGCCAGAGACCCUGUGUUCUCAGUUCCCUGGGAAAAGCUUCCCUUUAUCCCAGAACUUAUUCCCCCAAACCUGGCCUUCCCCAACCCUUGCCAUCCUUUCCCGAUUCUCUCUGGUUUGAAGGUGACCCUCUGUCUUGUUCUACUACUGUGACAACAUGGGGGACAUUUUCUUUGUACCUCCAUUUAUCUGAGCUUCGCCCACACACCCAGCCUACCUGCCCCCUUCUAGCUACACAGGAUCCUUUCUCCAGCUGGAAUCUCCUAUCUAGCCAUUUCUACAAGAACCACCAUGAUAUCCUGGGCUGCACUUUGAACUUUCAUAACUAUCUCCCCUGACACCCUGGACCUUCUCAGUCCCAAUAAUUCAGGAUCACCCCCAUCAUCUGCUUUUUUUUUUCUUUUUUUUGAGACGGAGUUUUGCUCUUGUCACCCAGGCUGGAGUGCAAUGGCACGAUCUCUGCUCACUGCAACCCCCGCCUCUGGGGUUCAAGCAAUUCUCCUGCCUCAGCCUCCCGAGUAGCUGGGAUUACAGGUGCCUGCCAUCACACCCGGCCAAUUUUUGUAUUUUUAGUAGAGACAGGGUUUCACCAUGUUGCCAGGCUAGUCUCGAACUCCUGACCUCAAGUGAUCUGCCUGCCUUGGCCUCCCAAAGUCCUGGGAUUACAGGCAUGAGCCACUGCGCCUGGCCAUGCUCUUUUUAACUCUUAUCAACACCAAGCCCGCUACACACUCACCUAGACUGCCUCUGCCUCUACCCUCCUUGCUUAGCACCUUUUCAUCAUCUAGUGGUAAUCCCCUGAAAUGCUUCCCAGUGCCUGCCAAAUCAUCUUAUCUUGCCUCAAAUCCCAAGUCUGGUCCCUUUAUCUCAUAUUUUCUGCUUCCCUGAACCAGUUCUAAGAGCCCCCUUCAAGUCUUCCAUCUGCCCUCCUCAUCUACCUAUGCACCAGGAGGUACCCUCUCUCCUGGGGAGAAGGGGUCCAUCUCCUUCACAAGGCUCAUUGCUGCCCAGCCCCGGCCUCCACAUUGCUCAGUUCCCUCCUUCCUGCCUCCAGCAGUUCCUGCUGCCUCCUAUUCCUCCACUCUCCUGUAUCUUCACUCCUUACCUCACCACUUGGCUCCCUCCCCUCUGUUUUCAAGCUCCUGCCCUUGCCUCCUUAAAGAAAGUCUUCCCUUGAACACCAUUGUCUCCCUUUUGCUGCUACACUUUUAUAAUUUGAUUCUGACACUUUCUCUCCUACCCACUAUUUCCUUAAAAACCAGAAAUGCAACUCCAGGGUCCACAACUCCACAGUGCUGCCUUCUUGCUGGUCACCAGUGCUGUGGGCUCUGCCUAGGUGCUGGCCAGGCCUCUGCGCAGCAUCCAGCCCUCUUUCUGCCCCAGGCCUGAGGCACCACCUGCCACUGCUUCUCCAAGGGUUCCUUGUCUUUGGCUCUCUUUCCUUUUCUCCCAUGCGCACUCCUCAGUGUUAUCCUUAGCCCUCCUCCCGCCCCAUGAAACACUCUCCUCAGAGAACUUAUCCAUUCUCUCUGCCCCAGCUAUCCCAGUGAUACAGAUCUGUGGUCCCCCAACAUCAGUCAUCAGACCAGCUGCAUUUGAAUCACCUGGGGAACUUAGUAAGAACACAGAUUCUUAGUCCCACUCCAGACUACAGAAUCAGAAUCUCCAGGUGAAGCCAGGAAGUUCCCCAGGGGAUUCUGUGGUAGCCAGGUGACAAAACCUGAUACAGAUUGCUUCCAAAUUUCUCUCCAGCCCUUAUCUCUCUAUUAAACUAUAAUCUUAUCUUUCUAACUGAAAACUAGAUAUCUCUGUCUCUCUCUAAUGAUAUUUCGAUGAAGAACAUGAGAAAUUGUGGAUUG
This 2150-nucleotide long non-coding RNA is filed under the name Homo sapiens (human). RNAcentral's name for it is "non-protein coding lnc-KCTD19-1:2". Lineage: Eukaryota; Metazoa; Chordata; Mammalia; Primates; Hominidae. The record is from RNAcentral.